This 209-nucleotide long non-coding RNA is filed under the name Homo sapiens (human). Its description in RNAcentral is "HSALNT0297113". The record is from RNAcentral. Lineage: Eukaryota; Metazoa; Chordata; Mammalia; Primates; Hominidae.
AGCAAUUCUCCCACUUCAGCCUCCAAAGUAGCUGGGACCACAGGAGGGCACUGUAUUGCCAGGUCCCUGGAUGUGGUGUGAAGACUGUUCUCUACAAAACUCUAGAAGGCACGAUUUUCAUCAGAUUCACAGCCAGCGUGGCCAUACGCAGUAAGCCUGUAUUAGAUAGAGACGGUGUCUCCCGUCAGGGCAAAGACUUGGUGCUUUUG